This is a non-coding RNA of Paramuricea clavata, 445 nucleotides long. Lineage: Eukaryota; Metazoa; Cnidaria; Anthozoa; Malacalcyonacea; Plexauridae. The record is from the annotation of a GenBank genome assembly.
GUCAUCUACCGUCAUCUAGUGUCAUAUACCGUCAUCUACCGUCAUCUAGUGUCAUCUAACGUCAUCUAGUGUAAUCCACCGUCAUCUAGUGUCAUCUACCGUCAUCUAGUGUCAUCUAACGUCAUCUAGUGUCAUCUACUGUCAUCUACUGUCAUCUACCGUCAUCUAGUGUUAUCUAGUGUCAUCUACUGUCAUCUACUGUCAUCUACCGUCAUCUAUUGUCAUCUACUGUCAUCUACCGUCAUCUACCGUCAUCUACUGUCAUCUACUGUCAUCUACCGUCAUCUACCGUCAUCUAGUGUCAUCUAGUGUCAUCUACCGUCAUCUACCGUCAUCUACCGUCAUCUACUGUCAUCUACUGUCAUCUACUGUCAUCUACCGUCAUCUACCGUCAUCUACUGUCAUCUACUGUCAUCUACUGUCAUCUACCGUCAUCUAGUGUCAU